Molecule: long non-coding RNA, 675 nt
Organism: Limanda limanda (common dab)
Lineage: Eukaryota; Metazoa; Chordata; Actinopteri; Pleuronectiformes; Pleuronectidae
Exons: 5
Source: RefSeq, a predicted model, not a curated record
GAAUCUGACCUGCAGCAGUGAUGCUAACCCAGCAGCUCACUACACCUGGUACAAGAGAAGUGGAGAUAAACAAGUUCAACCAAAAGCAUCAGGACAAAACUUCACCAUCACUGAUAUCACAGCUGAACAUGGUGGAAAGUAUCAGUGUGAGGCCCAGAACACACACGGACGUAGUAACACCACCUUACAUCUGACUGUUGGAGCAGGUGCUUGGAAAUCAGCAGUGACUGGAACAACCACAGCUCUUCUCCUGGUGGUCGUCCUCCUCGCUGUCUUCCUGUGGAUCAGAAGAAACAAGUCCUUCACACAACAGCGUGAGUGCGGUGAGAGACCAGAAGACAGAGCGCAGAUUCCAGCUGCAGCACACACACGACCAGCAGAGCCUCACGAUGACGUCCACUACGCCAGCGUCUGCUUCACCCAGAACCCGGCAGACGCCAUCUACUGCAACAUAGGUCGAGUUCAACCCCAGAGAGAAACUGAGGAAGACGAGGAGGAGGAGGCUGAAUACAGCGCUGUUCGAUUUGACAGUGCAACAGGAACAAGACGUGAAGAAGAGGGAGACGAUCCAUCUGCAUUGUACAGCACAGUCACCAAACACUGAAGAAACACAACGUGAAUCUGUUGUUUAUAUGUGGAUUUUACAGCAUAGAACCAGAAGAAAUAAAACAUAUA